RNAcentral lists this ribosomal RNA (464 nucleotides) under uncultured Klebsiella sp. RNAcentral's name for it is "bacterial SSU rRNA". It matches the Rfam family "Bacterial small subunit ribosomal RNA", at positions 338 to 795 of the family's 1533-position model. The record is from RNAcentral. Lineage: Bacteria; Pseudomonadati; Pseudomonadota; Gammaproteobacteria; Enterobacterales; Enterobacteriaceae.
CCUACGGGAGGCUGCAGUGGGGAAUAUUGCACAAUGGGCGCAAGCCUGAUGCAGCCAUGCCGCGUGUGUGAAGAAGGCCUUCGGGUUGUAAAGCACUUUCAGCGGGGAGGAAGGCGGUGAGGUUAAUAACCUCAUCGAUUGACGUUACCCGCAGAAGAAGCACCGGCUAACUCCGUGCCAGCAGCCGCGGUAAUACGGAGGGUGCAAGCGUUAAUCGGAAUUACUGGGCGUAAAGCGCACGCAGGCGGUCUGUCAAGUCGGAUGUGAAAUCCCCGGGCUCAACCUGGGAACUGCAUUCGAAACUGGCAGGCUAGAGUCUUGUAGAGGGGGGUAGAAUUGCAGGUGUAGCGGUGAAAUGCGUAGAGAUCUGGAGGAAUACCGGUGGCGAAGGCGGCCCCCUGGACAAAGACUGACGCUCAGGUGCGAAAGCGUGGGGAGCAAACAGGAUUAGAUACCUAGUAGUC